Molecule: non-coding RNA, 690 nt
Organism: Aquila chrysaetos chrysaetos
Lineage: Eukaryota; Metazoa; Chordata; Aves; Accipitriformes; Accipitridae
Source: the annotation of a RefSeq genome assembly
AUGACGGCUUCCGCCAGUGACACCCGCCUGGAGCCUCCCAGCUUCAGCAACAUCGUCCUCUACGUCCUCCCACCCAACAUGGCCGACCUCUACAUCACCCGUAACCCCAAAGUCCGUUGUUUGGCCACCAACUUGCCGAGCGAUUCCGGUUUCCAACUCUUCUGGAUCAAGGAGAAACCGGGUGUCCUCAAUCCCGAUUUCCUGGAUCUCCAAGAACAAUUUAACGGCACCUACACGGCCACCAGCACCUUGACCAUCUCCACCCAAGACUGGGAAGCCGGCGAACGGUUCACCUGCAUGGUGAAACACGACGAACUCCAGUUGCCGCUCAACAAGAGCAUCUCCAGACGGUCAGGCAAGGUCUCCCCGCCUCUCAUCUUCGUCUUCCCGCCUCACGCCGAGGAGAUGACUCAAGCCAAAGUCACCCUCACUUGCAUGGUUUACGGUUUCCAACCGGAGAACAUCCAGGUCCAAUGGUUGAAGAACCACGAGAACGUCGGCGAAGACCAUUACGUCACCACCCCGCCGCUGAAGGACGGGCCGAAGGAGAGCACCUUCUUCGUCUACAGCAAGAUGACGGUCCCCAAAACCAGUUGGUUGGGCGGCGACAUCUACACCUGCAUGGUGGUUCACGAAGGGUUGCCCAUGAGGUUCACCCAACGGCAGAUGCAGAAGGGUCCCGGUAAUUAA